Molecule: long non-coding RNA, 540 nt
Filed under: Phasianus colchicus (ring-necked pheasant)
Lineage: Eukaryota; Metazoa; Chordata; Aves; Galliformes; Phasianidae
Description: lncRNA (ENSPCLG00000007689.1)
Source: RNAcentral
CCAGAAUGGAAAAAUAAAACACAGUUAUGGUCAUGUCCCCCAGCCUGCAGCUCGGAGGCAUGGACCAGUACAGAAAUAAGCUACACACCAGGCAGCUUUCUUCAGCAGAGCUAGCAUGGCCCUCUCGAGUCCUCCAUUAGCUCCGUCUUCAAAUGAGGGUUUAGUUGAAGUACCUGGUAUUAAUCAUACAGGUCAUAAAUUUUUGGGGUCCAGUUUACCUCAAAACCUGCUCCCCCCUGUACAUUAAGCAACACAGCAGUUGUUACUAUGGAAACAUUCAGCACAGAGAUGGUUGGCUCAAUAGCCUGGGCCCUUCAUUUGGACCUAAAGCCAGGGGUUUGUCUGCAUAACAAGAUGAAAGUGUGCUUGUAAAGACGUACAAGAGCAGCAGAGAUGUGGUGGAACAGGCUUCAGGUGUCACUGACAAGUCUCCAGAGGGCAACUGUGUUGCUGAGCUAUUCUGCACCCCAUAUACCCUCCUUUCACUCCUCCUGUUACUCAGGCAUGGCUGAGCCCGCUCUGUGUGGCCGGGAGGAUUAG